Molecule: ribosomal RNA, 253 nt
Filed under: uncultured bacterium
Lineage: Bacteria
Description: partial 16S ribosomal RNA
Rfam family: Bacterial small subunit ribosomal RNA
Source: RNAcentral
UACGUAGGGUGCGAGCGUUGUUCGGAAUCACUGGGCGUAAAGGGCGUGUAGGCGGCCUGGUAAGUCGGAAGUGAAAGCCCACGGCUCAACCGUGGAAUUGCUUUCGAUACUGCCUGGCUUGAGUACGGGAGAGGAAAGCGGAAUUCCCAGUGUAGAGGUGAAAUUCGUAGAUAUUGGGAAGAACACCGGUGGCGAAGGCGGCUUUCUGGACCGAUACUGACGCUGAGACGCGAAAGCGUGGGGAGCAAACAGG